UACAACGGAGACAGGCCGGGUGCCCUUCGGGGCGUAACGGGGAACCGGGUGAGAAUCCCGGGCGGUCCCGCCACUGUAACCGGAGAGUGCGUUUUCAAGAUGCCACUCGCCCAUCGCGGGGAAGGCGAAAGCGCGCGAAGACCCGGAAGCCAGGAGACCUACCCGGUCGAACUCCCGAGG
RNAcentral lists this non-coding RNA (180 nucleotides) under Kyrpidia tusciae. The record is from RNAcentral. Lineage: Bacteria; Bacillati; Bacillota; Bacilli; Caryophanales; Alicyclobacillaceae.